Molecule: long non-coding RNA, 422 nt
Filed under: Nicotiana benthamiana
Lineage: Eukaryota; Viridiplantae; Streptophyta; Magnoliopsida; Solanales; Solanaceae
Description: long non-coding RNA (NBEN_LNC036968)
Source: RNAcentral
AUUUGGGGGGGGGGGGGGUUGGUAUAAGUUGAGUAUGGGCUCGAAUCUUCAAAUGAAGAUUCGAGAAGGUGCAAUUUGAUUCGAGGUUAGGGAGUAGGAGAUUUGGGUUUAGGGAGUGAAAGAGGUUCUCUGGGAUCAAGAUGGUGGUCGACGACGUAGUUGCCGCCGAUUUUAUGGUGGAUGGAAUCUAUGGAGGCUAGGGUUUGGAGGGGGUUCCGUCUUAGAGGUUUGAGAGAGAUGGAGUGAGAUGGGGUGGGGUUGGCUAUGAGGGUGUGAGGUGUGAGAGGAGGCUUUUAUACGGGAUAAAUGAGUUGAUCCUGGCCGUUGAUCAAGAGUAAUCAAUGGUCAGGAUCCCUUCCUAAGGGGAAAUCGGCAUCGUUCACUUAAGUGAAGACUGGGUCGGUUCGUUGGUUAAAUGGGUC